AUGAGCGAUUUGUGUGUUGGUGAAGAUGGGGUUAACAUUCACAAAUCAUUUAGUAGGUUAUUCACGAAGAAGGAAAUGAGGAUUUUGAUGGUUGAUUUUUCUAAUAGAAAGCCAAAGAGCUAUUUUCUUAAAGCAAUACCAAAUCCACUGUACCAGGCAAACUACAUACAUGGUUUCAAUGCAACUUUCUGUACUGUCAUCAUAUAG
Molecule: non-coding RNA, 207 nt
Organism: Vicia faba (fava bean)
Lineage: Eukaryota; Viridiplantae; Streptophyta; Magnoliopsida; Fabales; Fabaceae
Source: the annotation of a GenBank genome assembly